UGGGGAAUUUUGGACAAUGGGGGAAACCCUGAUCCAGCCAUCCCGCGUGUGCGAUGAAGGCCUUCGGGUUGUAAAGCACUUUUGGCAGGAAAGAAACGUCAUGGGUUAAUACCCCGUGAAACUGACGGUACCUGCAGAAUAAGCACCGGCUAACUACGUGCCAGCAGCCGCGGUAAUACGUAGGGUGCAAGCGUUAAUCGGAAUUACUGGGCGUAAAGCGUGCGCAGGCGGUUCGGAAAGAAAGAUGUGAAAUCCCAGAGCUCAACUUUGGAACUGCAUUUUUAACUACCGGGCUAGAGUGUGUCAGAGGGAGGUGGAAUUCCGCGUGUAGCAGUGAAAUGCGUAGAUAUGCGGAGGAACACCGAUGGCGAAGGCAGCCUCCUGGGUUAACACUGACGCUCAUGCACGAAAGCGUGGGGAGCAAACAGG
Molecule: ribosomal RNA, 429 nt
Filed under: Acidobacteriota bacterium
Lineage: Bacteria; Pseudomonadati; Acidobacteriota
Description: Acidobacteria bacterium partial 16S ribosomal RNA
Rfam family: Bacterial small subunit ribosomal RNA
Source: RNAcentral